GACGUAGGGGUCCAGCGUUGUCCGGAAUUACUGGGUGUAAAGGGUUCGUAGGCGGUGCGGCAAGUUGGGAGUGAAAUCUCUGGGCUUAACCCAGAGGCUGCUUCCAAAACUGCUGUGCUUGAGUGUGGGAGAGGCGCGUGGAAUUGCAGGUGUAGCGGUGAAAUGCGUAGAUAUCUGCAGGAACACCCGUGGCGAAAGCGGCGCGCUGGACCACUACUGACGCUGAGGAACGAAAGCUAGGGGAGCAAACAGG
This 253-nucleotide ribosomal RNA is filed under the name uncultured bacterium. RNAcentral describes it as "partial 16S ribosomal RNA". It matches the Rfam family "Bacterial small subunit ribosomal RNA", at positions 524 to 776 of the family's 1533-position model. The record is from RNAcentral.